Parus major (Great Tit) is the source of this 8683-nucleotide long non-coding RNA. RefSeq lists it as uncharacterized. The transcript is spliced from 12 exons. The record is from RefSeq and is a predicted model, not a curated record. Lineage: Eukaryota; Metazoa; Chordata; Aves; Passeriformes; Paridae.
UGGCGUGCAAAGGAGCAGGUUUAAGAGAAAAAAAAAACCCACAAAAAACCCACAACAAGAGAAGUAUUUUGCUUCUCUUUGAGAUGAGAAACCAUCUGUGGGUGCCCAUUUCCUGCAGGGCUCAUCCAACUUUAGCAAAACACCUGCACCCGCCAGGGAAGGUGGCCCUGGCAGGCAGCAGAUGCUCCACAGCUGAAGCCUUUCAAAGGAGACACCUUUAGAGCUCCUGCCCUUAUGGGAUAACUGAAUCAUCCAUAAAUAGUCUUUAAAGGCAGCAUUGUCUGCCUGAAAAAAACCCCCAAAAAAACCUAAAGGAAAAUGAAGUAGGGGUUUUGUGUGUGGGUAAAGUAAAUACGGUUGGAAAUACAUGACUUGUUAAAAGCUUUUUGAGGACCCCACACUCACGAAAUCUUUUAGGUCAUGUGUUUGCUUUCUGAAACAUUUGGUUAAACUUGGAAUUGAGUUUAGAGCCUGCAGGUCUAAGGAGAGGUACAAGACUUUCCUAGGACUGCAUGCAGCGCAGUGCAAGAUACAGAUUUCCCCAUCUCUACAAGGCCUUUUUAUUUGGUCUAGAUACACAUCUUCAAUCCUUGUUUUGAGGAUCAAAUCUGUAUUUCCUGCGUGCUUGAGGAAAGUCUGUCAGCGUGAUGAGGCAUCAGCAUCACUCAGCAGGACCUGUUGAGGAGCCAGUGAUGGCUUGGCCCAUCACAGCACUGAUUUAUCCUUUUUUGAUCUAAUCCUAACUGAAUUAAAACCUUGUCAUUGCCACCUGUGAGAGGACAGAACCCCAGUUGUUCUGAGACUACAAGAAUUUCCAUCAUUUCACUUGGAAAAAUUUCUGAUAGCUGGGCAAAACUGUCUUAGAAAAAGAUGAAGAAACUCAGAGAACAAACAGAAAUAUUGGAUGGUGGAUGAGACGAACCUAAAUUUUACAAUCUGUAAUCUGGAUACAGAUUCCCCUCCAGACGUUCACCAACAGCAAGGAUCAACAAGAAGGUAAGGUAAAGGUUCAGCUUUUAGAAGUCAGGCUAAUAAUAUUCUUUCCUCAAUGCAAAGCUGAGCCUGUUUCACUUUCAGGCUAACUUUCAGCAUCUCUGAUUUCUAUGUGGUGCCUUGCUUCCAGUAUAAAUAAAUGAUCCCACAUUCCGUCAUGAUAACAUAUGCUCAUGCAGAGCUCAAAAUUAGAAGGAAUAUGAAGUGUUCUAUUAAUUGCAUGAAUGUUGAUUGUUAAAAUCAUGUGCUAAUUGGUAAUAUCUGUGUGCAGUAGGUUCCCGCAAUAUGUGUUAGAUUACAUUAACUGUGCUCGUGACUCAGAUAUCAGCAUUAUGCCUUUCGUAGAAGGAGCUUUUUUAGACUUUGUGUAAUUAGGUUCUAUAGAUUAUCAGUGUAGAAAAAUUAGUUGAAGGCUGUGUAAAGGGCAUGUGAAGUUAGAGGAAUGAGGAAUACAGAGCUCCAAAGAUGCAUCUGCUCCUCUUUCUCAUGGUGUGUGCUUCCUCACAUCCUCUCCAGAGUAAUUCUCACCGUGUUUGUCUUGAGCUAAUUCCCAGGGAAUCCAGCACCUCACUGCCAUGGUGAUUACAUCUGGAAGUUGCCAUAUUUUUUUGAGUGGGCUUUCUCCAUUUUCAGUCUUUUCUUUUGCCUUCCCCAGGCUUUGAUCCAAGAACCAUUCAGCUGAAGCAUCCUGACAGAGGAAGCAUCCACUCCUUGGCACUGCAGUGGGUCUCCCUUCCCUGGUGCUCAGCCCAGGCAGGAUCCUCAGGAGCUGCUCUGGCUCCAAGCAGAACCUUUGUUGUGAGGAGGAAACCUUGCAAAGCUGAAAUGAAAUAUUAAGCCUCAUUCUUUCCAGGUUUCCAAGCAGAGUGACUCAUGAGAGCAACACUCCAAUUCCUAUUUCAUGAGCUGACUCCGUAGAAGUGAACAGAGCUGCUGGGAGCACAGGACCUGCUGCAAACAUCUUCCUACUUAUUAUUAACCAGCAACUUUAACUUUGUAGUGCUUCAGAUUUAUUCAUAUUUUCAGGCUUUCUGCUAUGCUUCUGGUUGUGAUAAAUUUUACUGACAGUAAGCAGGAAUUUAUUAUCCUUUGCUGAUGGCUGGGCAAAGCAUUCAGCAGGGAUAAGGCUGAGACGUGGAAAUAAGACUGGGCAAGGACUUCUGAUCUAGAGGUGCCUCUAUUUGCUUGUCUCCAUGUAAUCACUUUGGAAAGCCUGGAUAGUUCUAUCUUGGGAGAAGUGAGGUUUCCUGACUCCAUUCCUGCAGUGAGGAGGCACCACAACCUCAGUUCUCUGUUGAUUGAAGACUUUCCCCUACUUUGCAUUGCAAAUAUAUGUAUGACUAAUUCAAACCCACUGGUUUUUUCCUACUUUUUUUGUCUCUUCCCUUUGGCUGAAACAAUGUUUGCUUCUCCCAGGCCUUGAGACCAAUAAGUUCACUAGCACUGGACAGGUUUUCUUGGAGCUUCAGCUAAACUGAAGUUGUUGUGUUGGGUGGAAUGAAAUUUGAGAUCUCCAUAAAGUUUUUCCUAAUUUUCCAUGUAUCUCUGUUUUUUUCUACUUUUGCAUAGACUUAGCAGAUGUAUUUGAAUUCUGGAUUUAGCACCUGGCUAAAUCCUACUAACCUGCAGAAAGUUUUGCCCUGGUUUAUUCAACAAAAAAGGCCAAACCCCCCAAGCACAGCUAGAAACCACUAGAAAAACAUAAAAAGGUCUGAUUUAUGCUGGAUAUCAGAGGAAAUCAUCUUAUCCCCUCUGAUAUGCAAUCUAUGAAUGUAGAAAAUUUUGGCUGACUCAUGAGAGUCCCAGAAUGGCACUAGAUGUUGACAGAUAUAUUAAGAAGAGCUAAGCAAUUUUUGGUACCAAGGCAGAGGCAGGGGAGAUGUGUUCAUUUGUGGUUGGUGGAAUUACUGAAAGCGCUGCAAUAAAGUUUGGUAAACUUUUUACCUUCCCUAAUCACAGGUUUACCUGGGUCACAAGCAUUAGUCAUGGAUAUUCAUUGCAAACUGCUAGCUCAUAAAAGACAGCAUAUGGCAGCCCGAAUUUCUUGCUAUAUAAAGUCAAAUUCACAGUAAUAACAUCUGUGCAGAAUUUAGAGCCCCACCAAUUAAAGUGAGGUCAACGUGCUGAGGCAGAGAUUGAUGGCAUUCUGCAAAUCUUAAACGACAAGUUAAAUAGGUAUAAAAUAAACAAACAACUUUAUUUCUUAUUAAAGAGCAGACAAGCGGGGUGAGAAUGCUGAGUGCUCAGUAAUGAGGGCCAAGAGGAGCAGGGCAAUGCUGUGGGCUGUGGCUGGGUUGUAACUCAGCAGCAAGGGGUGCACAUGGAGCAGGAUCUUGAUGCCUUUUUCUUGCUGGUAUAACACAUCAAAAACAAAUCAAAACUGCUGGGCAGGACCCUGAAACCCCAACCUGGGAGACUCAAGAUACUCAAGUAUUGAAGGAAGGGGAAGGCACAGGAGGAGUGGCUGAGGUCACUUGGCCUGUUCAGCUGGGGGAGACUCAUCCUGGUCUACAACUUCUUCAAGAGAAGAGGAGAGGCAGGAACACCUCCAUCAUUUAGGUUCUAGCUUGUUUGCUUUUCUUAAAUGCUUGAUGUAACUUUUCCAAAGUGAUUUCUGCCUGAAGUUUUCAGUGUGUGAUGCAGUGUUUGCAGGAAGAAAGAGUUAAACUGAAAGUGGUGACUAAAAUCACUGACCCCACCAUGGAGCUCUUCCUUUGAGUCAGUUUGUCUGUCAUGUUGCACUUGAAAUUUAGGAAGUCUUUGUCAAUAAAAAAAAAAGUACUAGAGAAAACUUCCUGUUUAAAAAGGUGGAAUUUAGCAGGUACUCAUCACAAAUCUGCACAUAAAACUUAAAGGUUUUAAUCCAACAUGAAUUGGAAAAGAUGGAGCUAUGCCUUUACCUGGAGCCUGGGUAGCUUCUGUCCUUUCAGUGCAAUGUGACCUUCAGGUCAUUAUCCAAAGAGAAUCAGCUCAGACUUUCCCAAUUCCCAGCCAGGAUUUUUGCUCAGGGUUUUCCACACGAACAUCUGAAGCAACAUUUCCAACUCUGUGGCAGGGUAAAGGGAAUGGGAAGGAAGGGGAAUAUAUGUUUUGCUCAGUUGUGAAGCUGGAGACAAGGAAACUUGUGCUUGUUUGGGUUUUUUUCCCAUGCAGUGAGAAAAACAUGCAAAUGAAGUGUGAAAGAGAAAUUAUUCUGAAAGCAGGCAGGAACAGCAUCACUGAAAGAACAGGGCAUCAAGAGAAUCCCAAAUCCAGGGCACAACUGAGAGAAAGCACAGAAAACUGGGACUAACACCACCACCACGUUGAUGGGCAAAGGUGAUAUUUCAAAGGGAAUAAUUGAUGACAAAUAGACGUUUCUGGUUUAAUUCUAUGGAGAUAAUUUAGAAUAGGAUGGCUGAAGAAAGCCAUUAUAUAAUUUAAAAAAAACCUGCUAUGUCACCAUUUCUCAAAGGCCAAAUCCUGCUCUUGUGUGUGUCCAGUCAGGACAACCUGAAUCAUGCACAUGAUUUAGUCACAGAGUUUUCUGUUUCCAAAGCAGGAAAAAGGCUGAAAUACCUUGUUGGAAGGAGAAGCUGGGCAAGGGAAAUAUGUUCUGCUGACCAAAAAAUGAAACCAUGUGUGAACAAUGGAAAUGCUGUACCGGUUAUCUUUAAAUCAAGAACAGCAGUAUGGGAAGAUGUCAUGCUCUGAGCUGAACGCCAAAACCGGAUCCAGAAGGGCUGGGAAGAGGAGGAGGAACCCUCCAAACCUGGAAUUGCGAGUUUCCCAGGGAGGAGGAGAGCAGGAACACCUCAUCCCAUCCUCCCAUCACUCCCAGCCUCUCUCGCCAGGGUCUGCCCGGCCUCUCCUCGCAGCUCCAGAGGUCUGGAUAUUACCAUCCAUCACAGCAGCUCGGCUUCCAGCGCUUGCUAAACGCCUGAAUUUCCCGCUGGCUCGAUGAACAGCGUUCAGCUUGUGGUACAUUACCCAGGCACCGGGUGAAUGGGGCUGAGCGCUCCUGUUUGGCUGCGAGCGCCGCGUUCACCUGAGCUCGCUGGCAGGAUGAAUAGCUCACCGCCGUUCUGCUGCUAACCCCCUUUGUCAACCAGCACUGAGCCAUGGACCUUAUUACAAAGGCCGACAGCUCCCUGGAAACUUAAAUCCACUCUUUUUCCCUUCUCUACCAUAGGGAGCUGUAAAAGAAAAGGACUUGGUUGGUAGGCAUGUAAUAUAACAAAAACCCCUCUGUUGUGGCAGGAUCCAGACUCCCCAGUAACAAUGGGGAUUAUGCUCUCACAUCGAAAAUGCAGUUGCUAGUUUUAACUGGAGUACCUUAUUACAGAUUCCUACAGAGCACAUUUAUGUCAGGGGCUUGGAUGUUUAACUUAAGUCAAGCCUGGUAGCAGAGAGAGCUCAGCAACCUCUGGUUUGGGUUGUGGUUUUGGUUUUUGGUUGUUUUUUUUUUUUUUAUAUGGAGGGGAAAGAUGCAGCUUGAUAUGCUGCUUUGGUGCUACCUUCCCCCAAACCACUUCUCAGAGAGCUUUAAAUAUCCUGACACUGGCACCGGGCAGGGGCUGGCAGAAGAAUGGAUUUUUUCAUCUGAUUGCUCGCCAAGGUUGUUUUCAAGAAGAAGUAGAAGAAGAAGGGGAAAGAAAAAACCCAAAAAAACCCCUUUUGCAUGCCAGUCAUUCAUUGCCUGCCAGUUCCCAUGGUUCUCCUACGGAUGGUAGCCACAGAACUAUUCAAAGUACAGUAAACACUGAGGAAAAGUGAAAAGAAACUCAUGAAGCAGAGAACAGAGAAGGAAAAGGAGUUGGGUAUGGGAUACAUGGUAGUAAGAGUCACUUAGGAAUUACUUUAGGGUGUACCAUGAAUGCUUCACUCAGUGCCAGCAGUAGCUGGACCAGCACAGUUUAGGGAGGACCUACCCCACUUCAGCAGGAUGGGGAAACCAGCUGAUGUCACAGCAGGUGGGGCAGUGGGGAGGCAGUGACUCUGCUCUGAGCUAUCACAGAUGGAAAAAAGGGUGUUCACAAUGUAAUUUAGCUGCACUUGGGAAGAGUAUAUACAGUCCUCUGCAUGUACUGCAGAUCCCAGGGGACUUGUGCCAUCACCCUCUUUUCUGCUCUUUCUUCCUCUGGAGUGGAGUAAGUGUUUGUUGUUUUUUAAUUUUGGUUUUCUUCUUAAUAUUAAUUUUUGUCUGUUUCAUAAAUCAGGGAAUGAAAAGAGGGGAGAUGAAGUGUGACAUCCCAUCCCUGGAAGUCUCCCCUGGCAUAGUGGCAGGUAUCCCUGCCUGUGACAGAGGGUUGGGAUGAGAAGAGCUUUAAGGUUCCUUCCAACCCAAAUCAGCCCAUGAUUCUAACUCUUGUUGUUUUCUUGAUAUGAAUUCAUUUUUCUUAUCUCCAGGGCAGGGGAGCUGUAGGUGGAGAUCUCCAUAACGAGACCACUCGUGCAAGGGACAUCUGCAUUGCCUUCAGUGUGUGUAUCAUAUUUAACCCCCUGGGACAAGAGAGGUGAUGUACCAGAGAAAAAGUAAUUAUCUCAUUCAGAGCAAAACUUUUACAGAGAGAGGGGGGGAGUUUAGCACUAUGGAUUUUUCUGAUACAGUUAAGCACAGGAAAGAUGCUGAGAUGGAUCAAAACUUUCCUUCCCUGUGAAUGGUACAAUGUGGUUCCCAUAUUGGUUUUCCUUUAAUACUUUCAUUAUCAAAAAUCUCUUUUCUUUGACAAGCCAUUUGAAACCCUACAGAUUUAUUUGUUGUUUACAUUAUGAAUUGCACAAAUCAAGCCAUACAGGAUUGGAUCAGAGGAUAGCUUUCCUCUGAUUAAAAGAUAGUGGGAAAUCCCACUGGCCUGGGGUAGUUCUGAGAUUCUUCUCUCUUGAGCUUCUUGUGCCUGAGGUUGGUACCUAAGACAGACACCUGGUCCCGUGACUUUUGAAAUCCCAGUUACUCUCCCUGGUGCCAUCUGAGGGUCUCCCCUGCACUCCUGUCUGGGACAGGUUCUCCCCUGCUUUUGUACUCUUGUGUGAAAUGGAAACUCAAGGGUUAUGCUAUCAAAUUAUGCAUUGUUUAGGGGGAAAAAAAACCAAACCAACACAAAAUCCACCAAAAAAUUCCAAAAUCAAUCAGUUCUCUGACUGAAGAGGAAGCUGCACUUGGAGAAGAGCAAUAAGAGCUUUUAGGUGUCUUGAAGUUUGACUCUUGUGAAGAUAAGAGGAACUCAAAGUCAUAGCAAAAUUUAUAUCUCUCUACAGCCACGGAAAGUCUUUGUACUUGAGCAGAGCAGCUUUACAAGCAACAGGUGAAAGGUAGCAAUGAGCAUCUGCCCAAAUCUGAGGACCAGCAGACUUUGAGGGUGCUGGUGUUCCUCAGGAAGGUGAGACCCUCAGGGCUGUGCAGCCACCGAGGGGGUGCUGGGGUGGCUCCUUGGGGUUUGCCCAGCACGGGCUCUGUGCUUGUGUAAAGAGCAGAAGGUCCCAGGGAGAUCCCGACUGUCUCAGCAGCUCCCCUCUCUCACACAGCUGCAGCACUGAUUCAUCUCUGUUCCCAGGCUCUCCUCCACACUGAGAGUGCAGCAGGCACCUGGUGUGCUAAAUAAUCCUCCAGCAGUAGGCUGGGAGAUGAUUAACUCUUCCAUCACCACGCCAGUGAGCUCUGCAGAGCACAUGGCUGGCAGUGGGGAAGGAUCCCACAGGAAAGCGGCGGAACACCUGUUUUUUAUUGAAGUGGUGUACUCGAGGAGCAUAACACUGCAGCCCUAAUGUGCAGGGCAGACUACUUCAGAGCAGUGCAAAAGGGGAAAAAAGGCAGCCUGAAGUGUGUGUGGGUCUUUUCAAAACACCUGCAAGUAAUAUUGGAGAGGACAGAUGCGAGAUGGAGAUGUGAAAGGGUGAAAGUGGCUUGAUCCCCACCUCAGCUGCAGGAAGGCAGGGAGCAGCAUCAGGGGAGUGUUUGAGGGAGGUCAGGUUGAGCAGCAGGAGGCUGAGAGCUCCCUUUGAAUCUCCAAAACCAGAGGUUGCUGUCAGCCUGGCUGCUCCUCAGUGCUGCACAGCAAAGGGUUGGGAUGGGGAUCCCAGGAAAUGAGGAACCCCAUUCACUGUGGCUGGACAUCAGGAAGCAUUUCUGCACUGAAAAGGUCAUUAGACACUGGAAGGGGCUGCCCAGGGAGCUGCUCCAGAAAUCUCAGUGCUCUGGAUUAGUUUCAGGGUAGUGUUUGGUCAAAGGUUGGACUCUAUGGCCUUAGAGGUCUUUCCCAACCUAAACCAUUCUGUGAUUCUUUGAUCCCUGCAAUUGUUUCCUCCAUCACAAGCUUUCCACUGGUUUAAGAAGCUCCUGCCUUUUUGUGCCCUCAUUUCAAGAAGGAUAUGGCUUUGUGCCACUAAAAGAGGUACACAAGGGAAAGGGGAGUUGACAAUGACUCUCUUUAGGAUCUUUCUCUGACUUUAUGCUCUAGGAAAUGAGGGACUGGGAGGAGCACACUCGAUGCCAGCACGUCUACCUGUGACCCCACACUUGUGCAGCAGGCUGUGCACUGGCCCUGUGGAGCUUCCUUCAUGCUCCUGAUGAUUUAUAGGGGAAUUGGCAGCAGGAAAUGCAGCUGAAAAAAAAAUCUGCUAUCCUACAAAAUAAAGAAAGUUCUGCAUAUGGCAAAGGGGAUGGGCCUGGGGUCUGCAAUGACACAUUAAAAAAAAAAAAAAAAAACAAAAA